AUUGAACGCUGGCGGCGUGCCUAAUACAUGCAAGUCGAGCGCGAGAGUGAGGAGCUUGCUCCUCAUAAUCGAGCGGCGGACGGGUGAGUAACACGUAGGCAACCUACCCUUGAGAUUGGGAUAACUACCGGAAACGGUAGCUAAUACCGGAUACGACUUUUCCACACAAGUGGAAUGGUUAAAAGGCGGAUUUAUCUGCCGCUCAUGGAUGGGCCUGCGGUGCAUUAGCUAGUUGGUGAGGUAGUGGCUCACCAAGGCGACGAUGCAUAGCCGACCUGAGAGGGUGAUCGGCCACACUGGGACUGAGACACGGCCCAGACUCCUACGGGAGGCAGCAGUAGGGAAUCUUCCGCAAUGGACGCAAGUCUGACGGAGCAACGCCGCGUGAGUGAUGAAGGGUUUCGGCUCGUAAAACUCUGUUGUUAAGGAAGAACACUUGAGGUAGUAACUGGCCUUGAGAUGACGGUACUUAACCAGAAAGCCACGGCUAACUACGUGCCAGCCGCCGCAGUAA
RNAcentral lists this ribosomal RNA (514 nucleotides) under uncultured bacterium. Its description in RNAcentral is "partial 16S ribosomal RNA". It matches the Rfam family "Bacterial small subunit ribosomal RNA", at positions 30 to 523 of the family's 1533-position model. The record is from RNAcentral.